Molecule: ribosomal RNA, 449 nt
Filed under: uncultured bacterium
Lineage: Bacteria
Description: partial 16S ribosomal RNA
Rfam family: Bacterial small subunit ribosomal RNA
Source: RNAcentral
AACGAACGCUGGCGGCAUGUCUAACACAUGCAAGUCGAACGAGAUCUUCGGGUCUAGUGGCGCACGGGUGCGUAACGCGUGGGAAUCUGCCCUUUGGUUCGGAAUAACAGUUGGAAACGACUGCUAAUACCGGAUGAUGACGAAAGUCCAAAGAUUUAUCGCCAGAGGAUGAGCCCGCGUAGGAUUAGCUAGUUGGUGUGGUAAAGGCGCACCAAGGCGACGAUCCUUAGCUGGUCUGAGAGGAUGAUCAGCCACACUGGGACUGAGACACGGCCCAGACUCCUACGGGAGGCAGCAGUGGGGAAUAUUGGACAAUGGGCGAAAGCCUGAUCCAGCAAUGCCGCGUGAGUGAUGAAGGCCUUAGGGUUGUAAAGCUCUUUUACCCGGGAUGAUAAUGACAGUACCGGGGGAAUAAGCUCCGGCUAACUACGUGCCAGCAGCCGCAGUAA